AAUCCUAAAGCAAGCACUAAAAUAAAGAGUAAUUGCUAAAUUGGAUUUAAAAAAAUCACAAUCUAACUAUAUAAUAUCUAUAAAGGAACUUAUUUUAAAUAAAAAAUAGGUUGGGGAUCCCUAGGUGGCUCAGCGGUUUAGUGCCUGCCUUCAGUCCAGGGUGUGGUGCUGGAAUCCUGGGAUCAAGUCUCACAUCAGGCUCCCUACAUGGAACCUGCUUCUCCCUCUGCCUGUGUCUCUGCCUCUUUCUCCCCAUGUCUCUCAUGAAUAAAUAAAUAAAUCUUAAAAAAAAUAUAGGCCAUGACUAAAUGGGAUUAAUUCUAGGAAUGCAGAGUUGAUUUAACAUUUGAAAAUCAAUGUAAUUUAUCACGUAACAGACCCCCAAACAAUACAAAAACAAAACAAAAACCCCAAAACAAAACAAAACAAAAAACCCAAAUAACCAUAACAUGAUAAUUUCAAUAGAUGCAGAAAAUCAUCUGACAUCUGAAUUCAACAUCUAUUCAUGAUAAAAACUCUUAUGUGGUGUCUAUGUUGAGAACAGACUGAAGGUGAGCAAAGGAAGAAACAGGGAGACCAUUUAGAAGGGUAUUACAACAAUCCCAACUGGAGAAAUACCAGGGUGAUAAUCUAAUCACAAAGAUGGUCACUCUGGUUAAUAUGAAGGUAGUCCAAACAGGAUUUACUAAUGCAAUGGGUAGGGAGUGAGAGAAAGAAAGGAGCCAAGAAGGAUGACUCUGAGAUUUUUGGUCUGAGCAUUUGGGAGGAUGAAGUUGCAGUUAAUAGUGAUGGAGAAGAUGGUGGGACCUGGUGGAUUUGAUGGCACAAAUCAAAAGUUUUAUUUUGGACGUGGUAAGUUUGAGAUGUACCUUCAAAAUCCACAUUAAGAUGUCGACUAGGCAGUAGACAUAUAAAUCCAGAGACAGAGAGAUAUCACAUAUGGGCUCUAAAUUUGGGAGUCUUCAGCAUGUAAUUGGUGUUUAAAUUCAGAAGAGCAGAUGAAAUCACCAAAAGUCUGAGAAAAUAUAGAAAAAAUUGUCAAGGCCUGUGGUCCUUUUAUGAAAAUAUAUGAUAAAGGGAGAGAAUCCAGCAGAGGAGAUUCACAAAGAGUGUUCAUUGAAGCGAAAGAAAACCAGGGAAGUGUGGAAGCCAAGAAAAGUGAGUAUUUCAAGAAGGAAGAAAAUGUAUCAAACGCUGCUGAUGAGUGUAAGAUGAUGGCUGAGAAUGGACCACUGAAUUGCAGCAUGGAGGUCAUUGGAAGUCUUGACAAGAGCAGUUUCAGCACAAUAGCGCAGGCAAAAAGCCUGAUGAGAGUGGGUUCAAGACAAAAUAGGAAACCAAUCCUUCACAAACUGUUCCAAAAAACAAUAGAGGAGGGAACACUUCUCAAAUUAUUAUAUGACAUCAGAAUUACUCUGAUACUAAAACCAGACAAAGAUAUCACAAGAAAACUACUGAUCAAUAUGCUUUAUGCUAUAGAUACAAACACCCUCAAGAAAAUACUAGCAAGCUAAAUCCAUCCUAAAGCUCUUUUUAUAUACAAAUCCCACCAGAAGUGGGAUUUAUCCCAGAAUUGCAAGACUUGUUCUACCUACAAAAGCAAUGUGAUACAUCAUAUUAAUAGAAUAAAAGAUAAAACCCCAAAAGAUCAUUUAACAGAUAAGAAGAAGCACUUGACAAAACUCAACACCCUUUCAUAAUGAAAACACUCAACAAACUUAGAAGGGAAUUCACUUAUUUUGAUAAAGUACAUCUAUAAAGAAGCCACAGCUAACAACUUACUUAAUGAUGAAAGGAUGGAAUAUUUUCCCAAGACCAGGAAUAAGACAGAGAUGUCCACUCUCAUCACUUUUAUUUAAUAUUGUACUGGGGUCUAGCCAGGGCAAUUAAGAAAGAAAAAUAAAUGGAAGGAAUCUAGGUUGAGAAGGAAGAAGUAAAACUCUAUAAACAGAUGACAUGAUCUUAUAUGUAGAGGAUCUUAAGGAAUAUGCACACACACAAACUAUUAGAGCUAAUAGUUGGAGGAUAUAAGAUUAAUAUACAAAAAUCAAUUUCAUGUCUAUAAACUAGCAGUGAAUGGUCAGAAAUGAAAUUAAAGGGCAGCCCAGGUGGCUCAGUGGUUUAGUGCCGCCUUUAGCCCAGGGCGUGAUCCUGGAGACCCGGGAUCGAGUCCCACAUCGGGCUCCCUGCAUGGAGCCUGCUUCUCCCUCUGCCUAUGUCUCUGCCCCCCUCUCUCUCUCUCUCUCCCUCUCUGUGUCUCUCAUGAAUAAAUAAAUAAAAUCUUAAAAAAAAUGAAAUUAAGAAAACAAUUCCAAGGGUACCUGGCUGCAACUCUUGAUCUCAGGUUAUGAGUUCAAGC
Molecule: long non-coding RNA, 2359 nt
Filed under: Canis lupus familiaris (dog)
Lineage: Eukaryota; Metazoa; Chordata; Mammalia; Carnivora; Canidae
Description: lncRNA (ENSCAFG00000054638.1, ENSCAFG00845012802.1)
Source: RNAcentral